This 624-nucleotide ribosomal RNA is filed under the name Bradyrhizobium japonicum. RNAcentral describes it as "bacterial SSU rRNA". It matches the Rfam family "Bacterial small subunit ribosomal RNA", at positions 59 to 727 of the family's 1533-position model. Lineage: Bacteria; Pseudomonadati; Pseudomonadota; Alphaproteobacteria; Hyphomicrobiales; Nitrobacteraceae. The record is from RNAcentral.
AAGUCGAGCGGGCGUAGCAAUACGUCAGCGGCAGACGGGUGAGUAACGCGUGGGAACGUACCUUUUGGUUCGGAACAACACAGGGAAACUUGUGCUAAUACCGGAUAAGCCCUUACGGGGAAAGAUUUAUCGCCGAAAGAUCGGCCCGCGUCUGAUUAGCUAGUUGGUGAGGUAAUGGCUCACCAAGGCGACGAUCAGUAGCUGGUCUGAGAGGAUGAUCAGCCACAUUGGGACUGAGACACGGCCCAAACUCCUACGGGAGGCAGCAGUGGGGAAUAUUGGACAAUGGGGGCAACCCUGAUCCAGCCAUGCCGCGUGAGUGAUGAAGGCCCUAGGGUUGUAAAGCUCUUUUGUGCGGGAAGAUAAUGACGGUACCGCAAGAAUAAGCCCCGGCUAACUUCGUGCCAGCAGCCGCGGUAAUACGAAGGGGGCUAGCGUUGCUCGGAAUCACUGGGCGUAAAGGGUGCGUAGGCGGGUCUUUAAGUCAGGGGUGAAAUCCUGGAGCUCAACUCCAGAACUGCCUUUGAUACUGAGGAUCUUGAGUUCGGGAGAGGUGAGUGGAACUGCGAGUGUAGAGGUGAAAUUCGUAGAUAUUCGCAAGAACACCAGUGGCGAAGGCGGCUC